Molecule: ribosomal RNA, 447 nt
Filed under: uncultured bacterium
Lineage: Bacteria
Description: bacterial SSU rRNA
Rfam family: Bacterial small subunit ribosomal RNA
Source: RNAcentral
UCGGGAAUAUUGGACAAUGGGCGAAAGCCUGAUCCAGCAAUGCCGCGUGAGUGAUGAAGGCCUUAGGGUUGUAAAGCUCUUUUACCAGGGAUGAUAAUGACAGUACCUGGAGAAUAAGCUCCGGCUAACUCCGUGCCAGCAGCCGCGGUAAUACGGAGGGAGCUAGCGUUGUUCGGAAUUACUGGGCGUAAAGCGUACGUAGGCGGUGACUCAAGUCAGAGGUGAAAGCCUGGAGCUCAACUCCAGAACUGCCUUUGAAACUAGGUCGCUAGAAUCACGGAGAGGUGAGUGGAAUUCCGAGUGUAGAGGUGAAAUUCGUAGAUAUUCGGAAGAACACCAGUGGCGAAGGCGGCUCACUGGACGUGUAUUGACGCUGAGGUACGAAAGCGUGGGGAGCAAACAGGAUUAGAUACCCCAGUAGUCCCUGAGCGGGCUGGCAAGGCGCAU